This 253-nucleotide ribosomal RNA is filed under the name uncultured bacterium. RNAcentral describes it as "partial 16S ribosomal RNA". It matches the Rfam family "Bacterial small subunit ribosomal RNA", at positions 524 to 776 of the family's 1533-position model. The record is from RNAcentral.
UACGUAGGGGGCAAGCGUUGUCCGGAUUUAUUGGGCGUAAAGAGCGUGUAGGCGGCUUCACAGGUCUGCUGUGAAAACUCGAGGCUCAACCUCGAGCUGUCGGUGGAAACCGUGGGGCUAGAGUCCGGAAGAGGAGAGUGGAAUUCCCGGUGUAGCGGUGAAAUGCGCAGAUAUCGGGAAGAACACCCGUGGCGAAGGCGGCACUCUGGGACGGUACUGACGCUGAGACGCGAAAGCGUGGGGAGCGAACAGG